This 253-nucleotide ribosomal RNA is filed under the name uncultured bacterium. RNAcentral's name for it is "partial 16S ribosomal RNA". It matches the Rfam family "Bacterial small subunit ribosomal RNA", at positions 524 to 776 of the family's 1533-position model. The record is from RNAcentral.
UACGGGUGGGGCAAGCGUUGCUCGGAAUCACUGGGCGUAAAGCGCACGUAGGCGGCUCUUUAAGUCAGGGGUGAAAUCCUGGAGCUCAACUCCAGAACUGCCUUUGAUACUGAGGAGCUCGAGUCCGGGAGAGGUGAGUGGAACUGCGAGUGUAGAGGUGAAAUUCGUAGAUAUUCGCAAGAACACCAGUGGCGAAGGCGGCUCACUGGCCCGGUACUGACGCUGAGGUGCGAAAGCGUGGGGAGCAAACAGG